This 743-nucleotide ribosomal RNA is filed under the name Geoscypha tenacella. RNAcentral describes it as "partial large subunit ribosomal RNA". It matches the Rfam family "Eukaryotic large subunit ribosomal RNA", at positions 87 to 846 of the family's 3401-position model. Lineage: Eukaryota; Fungi; Ascomycota; Pezizomycetes; Pezizales; Pezizaceae. The record is from RNAcentral.
CGGCGAGUGAAGCGGCAAAAGCUCAGAUUUGAAAUCUGGCGUCAUAUUGGCGUCCGAGUUGUAAUCUGUAGAGGAGUAUUCGAGUGUGGAUUUGGCUUAAGUUCCUUGGAACAGGACGUCAUAGAGGGUGAGAACCCCGUUAACGGCCUAUGUCUUAUGCUCAUGUGAAUCUCCUUCAACGAGUCGAGUUGUUUGGGAAUGCAGCUCUAAAUGGGUGGUAAAUUCCAUCUAAAGCUAAAUACUGGCAAGAGACCGAUAGCGCACAAGUAGAGUGAUCGAAAGAUGAAAAGAACUCUGAACAGAGAGUUAAAUAGUACGUGAAAUUGUUGAAAGGGAAGCACUUGCUACCAGACACGCCUGUAGUUGAUCAACCUUCAUUUUUGAUGGUGCACUCGGCUAUAGGUGGGUCAGCAUCAGUUACAACGGUGGGAUAAAGGCCUUGGGAAUGUAGCUUCCUUCGGGAAGUGUUAUAGCCCUUGGUGUAAUACCAUCUGAUGUGACUGAGGCCCGCGCUUCGGCGAGGAUGCUGGCAUAAUGGUCGUAAGUGACCCGUCUUGAAACACGGACCAAGGAGUCUAACAUCUAUGCGAGUGUUUGGGCGUCAAAACCCUUACGCGGAAUGAAAGUGAAUGAAGGUGGGAACCGCAAGGUGCACCAUCGACCGAUCCUGAUGUUUUCGGAUGGAUUUGAGUAGGAGCAUAGCUGUUGGGACCCGAAAGAUGGUGAACUAUGCCUGAAUAGGG